Molecule: microRNA precursor, 64 nt
Filed under: Solanum tuberosum (potato)
Lineage: Eukaryota; Viridiplantae; Streptophyta; Magnoliopsida; Solanales; Solanaceae
Description: miR399b stem-loop (stu-MIR399b)
Gene: stu-MIR399b
Source: miRBase by way of RNAcentral
GGGCUACUCUCUAUUGGCAUGCACUUAUAUAUUUAAGCUGACAUGCCAAAGGAGAGCUGCCCUG